RNAcentral lists this ribosomal RNA (482 nucleotides) under uncultured bacterium. Its description in RNAcentral is "partial 16S ribosomal RNA". It matches the Rfam family "Bacterial small subunit ribosomal RNA", at positions 28 to 507 of the family's 1533-position model. The record is from RNAcentral.
GACGAACGCUGGCGGCGUGCUUAACACAUGCAAGUCGAACGCUGAAGCUCAGCUUGCUGGGUGGAUGAGUGGCGAACGGGUGAGUAACACGUGAGUAACCUGCCCUCUUCUUUGGGAUAACGCCCGGAAACGGGUGCUAAUACUGGAUAUUCACUGAUUCUCGCAUGGGGGUUGGUGGAAAGGUUUUUUCUGGUGGGGGAUGGGCUCGCGGCCCAUCAGCUUGUUGGUGGGGUGAUGGCCUACCAAGGCUUUGACGGGUAGCCGGCCUGAGAGGGUGACCGGUUAAAUUGGGACUGGGGUUCGGGCCAGACUUCUACGGGAGGCAGGAGUGGGGAAUAAUUGACCAUGGGGGGAAGGCUGGAGCAGGGAAGGCGGGGGAGGGAUGGAGGCCUUCGGGUUGUAAACCUCUUUCGCUCAUGGUCAAGCCGCAGCUUUGGGUUGUGGUGAGGGUAGUGGGUAAAGAAGCGCCGGCUAACUACGUG